CCUACGGGAGGCAGCAGUGGGGAAUAUUGCACAAUGGGCGCAAGCCUGAUGCAGCGACGCCGCGUGAGGGAUGACGGCCUUCGGGUUGUAAACCUCUUUCAGUAGGGAAGAAGCGAAAGUGACGGUACCUGCAGAAGAAGCGCCGGCUAACUACGUGCCAGCAGCCGCGGUAAUACGUAGGGCGCAAGCGUUAUCCGGAAUUAUUGGGCGUAAAGAGCUCGUAGGCGGUUUGUCGCGUCUGCUGUGAAAGACCGGGGCUCAACUCCGGUUCUGCAGUGGGUACGGGCAGACUAGAGUGCAGUAGGGGAGACUGGAAUUCCUGGUGUAGCGGUGAAAUGCGCAGAUAUCAGGAGGAACACCGAUGGCGAAGGCAGGUCUCUGGGCUGUAACUGACGCUGAGGAGCGAAAGCAUGGGGAGCGAACAGGAUUAGAUACCCUGGUAGUCCAUGCCGUAACGUUACGGGUCGACUAGGUAGGUGGGGUACGGAUUCCUACCGUUUCCGUCCGCCGUACGCGUACGCACUAAGUGCCCGCCCGUCGGGGAGGUACGGCCGGCCGAACGGACGUAAACCGUUAAAACGUUAAGUAAGUUAGUUACGGCGUUGAGGACGUGCCGACGGACGACCGACCGAGGGGAGGUUAGG
RNAcentral lists this ribosomal RNA (644 nucleotides) under uncultured bacterium. RNAcentral describes it as "bacterial SSU rRNA". The stretch from base 1 to 535 matches the Rfam family "Bacterial small subunit ribosomal RNA", at positions 338 to 873 of the family's 1533-position model. The record is from RNAcentral.